AUUAUCGAUUGGAUGGCGGUGAUUGGACGACGGUAGGCGCAUGCGACCCCUUCGCUCUUCCCCCACUUCAACAGACGAGGGCUCGUCGAAGAGAUUGAGAGAAGGGGGGGCGAAAUGGAGCGGCGAGGCGAGACGAUCGACGAGGAGCAGGGCCUUAUCGGCCCCCGUCCCCGCCCCGGCGGCGGAGGCGAAGGGGUUUCCGGCCGACGCACCUGGCCGACGGUGGACGGACCUCAUGGGCUGUCGGAAGAAGAGUCGGUCGCCUACGCCCGUAGCUACUUCUACUGGGGAUUCGCUCUCCUUCCCUUGCUCUGGGCCGUCAACUGCUGCUACUUCUGGCCCGUCCUGAGGAACUAUCAUCCCUCCCCUCACGUUCGCCGUUAUGUAAUGCCUUCUGCAAUUGGCUUUACGAUCUUCACUGUGCUCCUUGGUUCAUGGUCCCUUACAUUCUUAAUCGGAGGGGAGCAGCUUUUUGGUCCAGUAUGGAAUGAUCUUGUUAUGUACAACCUUGCAGACAAGUUAGGAUUGACGGGGUGGACAUAAAUGUGUGAAGAGAAACUCUUAUUUGGUUUGUUCAUCCAUGCAGAUCAGAAGACUGCUUGCACUUUCUGUCUCACUUUUUAUCUACCUGGAUUCCAGAACCACAUAACUACAUAUUCUUAUUUAUUGGUAUGUCAUUUAAAAGGUUUAUUAUAUUCAACUUGGAUAGAUAUAUCUUGUUUCAAAUUGGAAGUUGGAUCAAAUGUUUACUGGUCA
This is a long non-coding RNA of Musa acuminata AAA Group (dessert banana), 756 nucleotides long. RefSeq lists it as uncharacterized. Lineage: Eukaryota; Viridiplantae; Streptophyta; Magnoliopsida; Zingiberales; Musaceae. The transcript is spliced from 2 exons. The record is from RefSeq and is a predicted model, not a curated record.